This 41-nucleotide ribosomal RNA is filed under the name Physophyllia ayleni. Its description in RNAcentral is "partial 28S ribosomal RNA". The record is from RNAcentral. RNAcentral also lists the same sequence under 1 other name. Lineage: Eukaryota; Metazoa; Cnidaria; Anthozoa; Scleractinia; Merulinidae.
GACCUCAGAUCAGGCAAGGCUACCCGCUGAAUUUAAGCAUA